CAAUACAGUUUUCUGUUCACGACACUAGAAUGUGUUAUGAACAGAGUGUACUAGGUUUUGUAACCUUUGCCAAAGUUGUAAACAUCGCGUUGUUUAGAAGGAGCGCAAAGUCGAAUUGAGUUACUGCACACGCGCAUUUCACAGAGUAGGCGUUCCCUAACGGAAAUAUGCAGAUAUUUGCUGGAAUGGGCCAAAAGGAUCUCGCUAGCUCGUGCUUGGCUCUGCACGCCUACUUGCUUGUUCCGCCCAGUAUGACUCAUCUGUUCUAUGCUAAUUUGACGAAUGUCUUGUAUGACAAAAACCAUUACAAGCUGGUUUUGGGACAGAUCAACAUCGCAAAGAAUUUGACUGACAAUGUUUCCAAAGACUAUGUUUGACUGAAGUAUAGUGAUUCCCUGUACCGCUGUAAACAACUGAAGCGUGCUGCUCUGGGUCGAAUGUGCACCAUCAUGAAGCGACAGAAGCAAAGCUUGGAAUACCUGGAACAAGUGCUCCAGCAUCUUUCCCGUUUACAACUGAUUGAUCCCAAUACUCGGACUCUACUGCUUUGUGGAUAUACCAAUGUGGGCAAGUCUAGUUUAAUCAACAAUGUAUACAUCCCUAUUGCUGUUAUUCUUUGUCAUUUCAAUGGUUGAUACAACCUUGCUGUGUAAUUUGUGAUUAUAAUACAGUGUUCAAUGGUUGCAUGGCACAAUUUGCGCAACCAUUGUUAGAGGCAUUGCAGUAAGUUUCUUGUCUGCUUUGCUGCACGAUGGAUCACGCUUAUCUUGGUCAGAUCGUAAUUAUAAAAUGUGUUGUCAAUGGCUUACCUGGUUAAAGGCAAAUGGAAAUAAAUAGGUUUAGGUUUAUUUGAACAUCUUGUUACAUUUGCAGAACAUGGAUCAAAUGUGUCAUACAAUUAGGGUUGCACAUUUUGGGGAAUGUUCAGAGGUGGAAACUUUUGGUUGGAAAUAUAUGCAUAUUAAUACCAUUUAAUUGUAGAUGUUUUUUGCAUUGAUAUAUUGUAACAUAUCAUAUGGAAACAGAAACCUUUUACCUUAUCAUAAGUAGACAUAAUUGCAAAUGAUUAAAUCCUUCCAAUAGAAAAAAAAUGUAGUUACGAAUUGAACUUUAAUUAAAUGAGGUGACUCUAAACAUGGGAUGAUUUCACUGAACAACAAAAGAAAGGGAAUAUCGAAUGAUCCUCAAUGAUCCAUCGCAUCUCCCAAAAACGUUUUCAACAUACAUCUGUGAAAUGAUAGUCUAGAAACUAAAGCUUUGGUUGUCUUCCUUUCAGGCUUCUGUGACUUCUCCCUGGGCCUCCUCAAUGUCCACCAUUUGAACAUCAGACUCUGAGGCCUCAUUUUCACUGUCCAACCUCGUUGAGGAUAGCUCGUUGUCAGGCUCAAAAGCCUCAAAUUUGCCCAGGUGGCCACCAAUUUUGCAACCCUUGUAUUGGUCAGCCUGUUGCGUGCUUUAGUGUGUGUGUGUUCCCAAACAAGGACCAAUUGCGCUCCGAGGCGGCUGAUGUUGGGUGGGAUUUGGAGGAUGAUGGAGUCAACAAGGGAAAUUGCCUCAGAUCCACAGUCCCUUCCACCAGGUGGCUGAUGAGAUAUAUUGGCACGACUGCCAUAUUGCCUCUCCAUACCAAAGCCCUUGCUUGGAAGUGUACUUCGCCAGACUGGCAAGAACCUUGCCCUCAUCCAGGACAAGGUGGCGAGACACGGUAGUGAUGACGCCAUAGGCCUUGUUGAUGACACCAUAGGCCUCUGCACCAGACAGUAUGCUCUUGCCAGCAUACUUGGGGUCCAACAUGUACGCUGCGGCAUAUAUGGGCUUCAGGCAGGAGUCUUCACGUUUUUGAUGCAUUUCAGAACUGCAGUUUCCUCUGCUUGGAGCAACAGUGAAGUGGGCAGGGCAGUACGGAUUUCUUCUCUUACAUCUGCAAGCAGAGUCUGAACAUCAGACAGGAUGGCAUUGUCUCCCUCAAUCCGUACAAUGGCUACUACUAUAGGUUUCAGGCUGCUUACCACUCUCCCAAAAUACAUCAUCCAGGAGGAUCCUCUUGAUGGGGCUGUUCAUAUUGGCAGACUGUGAUAUGGCCAUUUCUUGGAGAGACUCCUUCCCCUCCAGGAGACUGUCAAACAUGAUGACAACACCACCCCAACGGGUGUUGCUGGGCAGCUUCAAUGUGGUGCUCUUAUUCUUCUUACUUUGCUUGGUGAGGUAGAUUGCUGCUGUAACGUGAUGACCAUUCACUUACCUAACCAUUUCCUUGGCUCUCUUGUAGAGUGUAUCCAUUGUUUUCAGUGCCAUGCUGUCCUUGAGGAGCAGAUUUAUUGUAUGAGCAGCACAGCCAAUUAGUGUGAUGGGAGGGUAGGACUCCUCCACUUUAGACCAAGCAGCCUUCAUGUUCGCAGCAUUGUCUGUCACCAGUGCACAUACCUUCUGUGGUCCAAGGUCAUUGAUGACUGCCUUCAGCUCAUCUGCAAUGUAGAGAUCAGUGUGCCAGUUGUCCCUUGUCUGUGCUCUUGUAGAAUACUGGUGGAGAUUAUGUAGUUUAAUUAUUCCUUGCCCACAAACAUUCGACCACCCAUCAGAAAUGAUUGCAAUACAGUUUGCUUUCUCUGACUUGCUUGACCUUCACGUGAACUCUGUUAAACUCUGCAUCCAGCAAAUUAGUAGAUAAAGCAUGUCUGGUUGGAGGGGUGUAUGCUGGGUGAAGAACAUUCAGAAAUCUCUUCCGAUGCACAUUGCCUGUGAGCAUCGGAGGUGAACCAGUUGCAUACACAGCUCGUGCAAGACAUUCUGCAUUUCUCUGACUACGUUCCUCCAUUGAGUCCAAAAAAAUUCUGCUUCCAGGAGGACCAUGAGCUGUUGCUAUCGAUAAGGUGUCUGAUUAAUCAUUUUCACCCUGAAUAAAAGUAGAGGGACUUUUGUCAGAGGUUGCUUGUGGUGAGCGCUGAGGGAACUUUAUGCACUUGGCCAGAUGAUUCUGUAUCUUUGUUGCAUUCUUCACAUGUGAUUUGGUACAGCACUUGCAAAUGUACACCGCUUUGAAAUGCCUCCACACAUCAGAUAGUGCCCGUGGCAUUUUCCUGUAAAGAUGAGAAAAAAAAAUGUUAAAAAAACAAACUAAUACAAUUCCAUGUACAGAUAAAUAGUUAAGCAGUUAGAUUAAAACAUUUAUUUUACAAAGGAGUUGUUUAAAAUGAAACAUGUAUUGAAACAGGUGAAUUAUCACUUCAGCAGGCUCAAGCAAGCGUAAACCCACAUGGUAGAAAAAACAAUCUAGCAGAAAUGGUUAACAAGUUAGAAAUGAUUUAAACACACUUUUCUGUAGGCUACUAUUUACUAGUAAACUAAAAAUCAUCAAUGUCAUAUUCACCCCACCCAGUAAUGUAAUCAAAACAGGACAACGACCAUAAGCACACAGCCAAGACAACGCAGGAGUGGCUUCGGGACAAGUCUCUGAAUGUCCUUGAGUGGACCAGCCAGAGCCCGGACUUGAACCCCAUCGAACAUCUCUGGAGAGACCUGAAAAUAGCUGUGCAGCAGCGCUCCCCAUCCAACCUGACAGUGGUUGAGAGGAUCUGCAGAGAAGAAUGGGAGAAACUCCCCAAAUACAGGUGGUUGACACCCCAAGGAUCUUGGACCACCCUUUGGAGGAGAGGAACACCAUUGAGAUGCAGGCCAUCACAGCCCUGCCGCAUCUGCGUUCUGCCGUGCUCUACGUGAUGGAUGUCUUCGAGCAGUGUGGCCAAACCAUGGAGCAGCAGCACAAGUUCUUUAACAACAUUCGGCCCCUCUUUGCCAACAAGGGCAGAGGUCAUGUGUUAUGGAGGCACCAUUUAUGAUUUAAGACUGCAUUACAAAUUACACACUACUCCAUUUAUAGUGCAUUACUUUUUACCAGAGUCCAUACCUCUGGUCAAAAAUAGGUUGCUAUUUAGGAACUAUAUAGUGAAUAGGGUGUGAAAAUAUGUAAGUACCAUAGAUUACUUUUUAAAUGUAGCUGUAACGUCUAUAGUUGUAGGCUUGUGAGUAAAAGUCGACAGUUGUGCAAAAUUCAGAACCUUUGCCUUUUAAAGUACUCUGCUAAAAUUGUGAGGGUGUAGCCUCAAGCUUGGCUGUUGCAGGCAUGCGAGCACGGGUACACCAAGGAAGGAUAGAAAAGGCAAGGACGGACUGCUUUCUUAAUGUUCUGUGUCCUUUGUCUCAAGGCGCCGUGCUACAAUAUUUCUCUGAAAAUGCCAAGGCAUGUAAAAAACUAACUCUGCAAGGUUUUUAAAAAUUAAAUAUUGUCAUUUUUUCGCUA
This is a long non-coding RNA of Salvelinus fontinalis (brook trout), 4297 nucleotides long. RefSeq lists it as uncharacterized. Lineage: Eukaryota; Metazoa; Chordata; Actinopteri; Salmoniformes; Salmonidae. The record is from RefSeq and is a predicted model, not a curated record. The transcript is spliced from 4 exons.